RNAcentral lists this ribosomal RNA (446 nucleotides) under uncultured bacterium. Its description in RNAcentral is "bacterial SSU rRNA". It matches the Rfam family "Bacterial small subunit ribosomal RNA", at positions 331 to 794 of the family's 1533-position model. The record is from RNAcentral.
CCAGACUCCUACGGGAGGCAGCAGUGGGGAAUAUUGCACAAUGGGGGAAGCCCUGAUGCAGCGACGCCGCGUGAGUGAAGAAGUAUUUCGGUAUGUAAAGCUCUAUCAGCAGGGAAGAAAAUGACGGUACCUGAUUAAGAAGCCCCGGCUAACUACGUGCCAGCAGCCGCGGUAAUACGUAGGGGGCAAGCGUUAUCCGGAUUUACUGGGUGUAAAGGGAGCGUAGACGGUGAUGCAAGUCAGAAGUGAAAGCCCGGGGCUCAACUCCGGGACUGCUUUUGAAACUGUGUGACUGGAGUGCAGGAGAGGUAAGCGGAAUUCCUGGUGUAGCGGUGAAAUGCGUAGAUAUUAGGAGGAACACCAGUGGCGAAGGCGGCUUACUGGACUGUAACUGACGUUGAGGCUCGAAAGCGUGGGGAGCAAACAGGAUUAGAUACCCGAGUACC